RNAcentral lists this transfer RNA (72 nucleotides) under Candidatus Pacearchaeota archaeon. Its description in RNAcentral is "tRNA-Tyr". It matches the Rfam family "tRNA". Rfam says of the family: Transfer RNA (tRNA) molecules are approximately 80 nucleotides in length. Their secondary structure includes four short double-helical elements and three loops (D, anti-codon, and T loops). Further hydrogen bonds mediate the characteristic L-shaped molecular structure. tRNAs have two regions of fundamental functional importance: the anti-codon, which is responsible for specific mRNA codon recognition, and the 3' end, to which the tRNAs corresponding amino acid is attached (by aminoacyl-tRNA synthetases). tRNAs cope with the degeneracy of the genetic code in two manners: having more than one tRNA (with a specific anti-codon) for a particular amino acid; and 'wobble' base-pairing, i.e. permitting non-standard base-pairing at the 3rd anti-codon position. Lineage: Archaea; Nanobdellati. The record is from RNAcentral.
CCCUGCGUAGCUCAAUGGUAGAGCACUCGGCUGUAGCCCGGGGUGUUGGCGGUUCGAAUCCGCCCGCAGGGA